Molecule: ribosomal RNA, 259 nt
Filed under: uncultured Alphaproteobacteria bacterium
Lineage: Bacteria; Pseudomonadati; Pseudomonadota; Alphaproteobacteria
Description: partial 16S ribosomal RNA
Rfam family: Bacterial small subunit ribosomal RNA
Source: RNAcentral
AACGACGCUGGCGGCAGGCCUAACACAUGCAAGUCGAGCGCGCCCUUCGGGGUGAGCGGCGGACGGGUUAGUAACGCGUGGGAACGUGCCCUUUGGUACGGAAUAGCCUCUGGAAACGGAGAGUAAUACCGUAUGAGCCCCUUCGGGGGAAAGAUUUAUCGCCAAAGGAUCGGCCCGCCGUUAGAUUAGGUAGUUGGUGGGGUAAUGGCCUACCAAGCCUACGAUCAUAGCUGGUUUUUAGAGGAUGAUCCAGCAAACA